GCUUACUACCAUACCAGCCUGAGUACCCCCGAUCUCAUCAGAUAUCAGAAGCUAAACAGGGUCGGGCCUGGUUAGUACCUGGAUGGGAGUCCGCCUGGGAAUAACAGGUGCUGUAUGUU
Molecule: ribosomal RNA, 119 nt
Filed under: Oncorhynchus mykiss (rainbow trout)
Lineage: Eukaryota; Metazoa; Chordata; Actinopteri; Salmoniformes; Salmonidae
Source: RNAcentral